UGAUGUCAUGAGAAUUCAAGCAUCCUCACGA
This 31-nucleotide non-coding RNA is filed under the name Rattus norvegicus (Norway rat). Lineage: Eukaryota; Metazoa; Chordata; Mammalia; Rodentia; Muridae. The record is from RNAcentral.